GUCCCUUUUUUUCAUGAGAUUUCGGAAGCAAUUGGGAUAUCACAAGAGAGCCUUUGCACAAUUGAAAUCACAUGUUUUGUUACGUUUUGUUUUUCUGUGUUGCUUCUUUUUCUUCUGUUAUGUUUUGUUUUAUUUUGUUUGUUCUCGAAGAUUGAUGGGAUGAUGGCAAAUUUGUGCGACUUUUGUUCAAGUCCUUGUUUGUAUCAUGCAUCAAGAGAGUGGGUUGCAUGGUUAUGCAUUUCAAAAAUAAUCUAUAAGUUAUUUGAAUUGUAUGAGAAAAUGGGGCAAAUGUUUUACUCUGGGAGGUUUCGGAAUUAUGUCAAGUUUUAAAUUUCCGGACGUUGGCAUUUUAUUUAUAUAUAUAUAUAUAUAUAUAUAUAUAUAUAUAUGGUAAAAACUUAGAUAUUAUCAAUGUGGCACAUUCCUUAAAGCCUCUCAAAAGAUU
Molecule: long non-coding RNA, 445 nt
Filed under: Physcomitrium patens
Lineage: Eukaryota; Viridiplantae; Streptophyta; Bryopsida; Funariales; Funariaceae
Description: long non-coding RNA (PPAT_LNC013318)
Source: RNAcentral